This 148-nucleotide non-coding RNA is filed under the name Homo sapiens (human). Lineage: Eukaryota; Metazoa; Chordata; Mammalia; Primates; Hominidae. The record is from Rfam by way of RNAcentral.
GCCAGGCAUGGUGGUGCAUGCCUGUAAUCCCAGCUACUUGGGAGGCUGAGGCAGGAGAAUCGCUUGAACCCAGGAGGUGGAGGUUGCAGUGAGCCGAGAUCACACCACUGCACUCUAGCCUGGGCGACAGAGUGAGACUCUGACUCAA